RNAcentral lists this ribosomal RNA (253 nucleotides) under uncultured bacterium. Its description in RNAcentral is "partial 16S ribosomal RNA". It matches the Rfam family "Bacterial small subunit ribosomal RNA", at positions 524 to 776 of the family's 1533-position model. The record is from RNAcentral.
UACGAAGGGUGCAAGCGUUAGUCGGAAUUACUGGGCGUAAAGCGUGCGUAGGCGGUUUCUUAAGUCGGAUGUGAAAGCCCUGGGCUCAACCUGGGAAUGGCACUCGAUACUGGGAAGCUUGAGUGCGGUAGAGGAGGGUGGAAUUCCCGGUGUAGCGGUGAAAUGCGUAGAGAUCGGGAGGAACAUCAGUGGCGAAGGCGACCCUCUGGACCAGCACUGACGCUGAGGCACGAAAGCGUGGGGAGCAAACAGG